Molecule: long non-coding RNA, 538 nt
Organism: Haemorhous mexicanus (house finch)
Lineage: Eukaryota; Metazoa; Chordata; Aves; Passeriformes; Fringillidae
Exons: 3
Source: RefSeq, a predicted model, not a curated record
AGCAGCCCCAGGUGUGAGUGUGACGAUGAGGAGGGGCCGGCUCCUGCCGGGGUCUGUUUUAGGGGGAGGGUUUGCCUCAGCUCCCUUUUGCAUGGUGCUGCUGCUGAGUAGCGGGGCUCCCGGGGCUGUCUCGUGGAAGGACGGUGAGAGCUUCUCCCGGGCUCUGGGGGAACACCAGGAUGCGCGCUUGGAUACGCGGAGCGUUGCUUAAAGGAGGUGCCGAGGGACAAAGCUUUGUGCCGGGAAGCGGCAGCCGAACAGGCACAGCACGGGAUCAGCAGGGAGAGGCGGCUCUGUCGUGGAGGAUCCAGGAGCUCGGCGUGCGUGUCUGAGCCUGCAGCUGCGAGCCGCAGCAGGACCCAAGGUCUGCACACGCCUGUGUACAGAAGAAUGAUGCGAGAACAGAAAAGUUGCAAUGGCAUUGCAGUUCCCUGCACAGAAAAUAGCCAGGGAGGUGAAGCCCGGCCCAGUGGUGCCGUUCGACUGCGCCCCGACUGGGAGCAUCAGGUGAGUGACGAGGACUGAGCCGCUCCCCCCC